RNAcentral lists this ribosomal RNA (758 nucleotides) under uncultured bacterium. RNAcentral's name for it is "bacterial SSU rRNA". It matches the Rfam family "Bacterial small subunit ribosomal RNA", at positions 28 to 776 of the family's 1533-position model. The record is from RNAcentral.
GACGAACGCUGGCGGCGUGCUUAAUACAUGCAAGUCGAGCGAGGUUACUGCGACAGAUCCCUUCGGGGUGAAGUUGCUUUAGCCUAGCGGCGGACGGGUGAGUAACGCGUGGGUAACCUACCCUAAAGUUCGGGAUAACAGCGGGAAACCGCUGCUAAUACCGGAUGCCUUUACCAUGUGGCAUCACAAGGUAAAGAAAGGUAACGCUUUAGGAUGGGCCCGCGUCCCAUUAGCUAGUUGGUGAGGUAACAGCUCACCAAAGCGACGAUGGGUAGCCGGCCUGAGAGGGUGGACGGCCACACUGGGACUGAGACACGGCCCAGACUCCUACGGGAGGCAGCAGUAGGGAAUAUUGCGCAAUGGACGGAAGUCUGACGCAGCGACGCCGCGUGAGCGAUGAAGGCCUUCGGGUCGUAAAGCUCUGUCCUUGGGGAAGAAGGUCUUCGGACUUGACGGUACCCAAGAAGAAAGCCCCGGCUAACUACGUGCCAGCAGCCGCGGUAAUACGUAGGGGGCGAGCGUUGUCCGGAAUUACUGGGCGUAAAGGGUGCGUAGGCGGCCCUUUAAGUCAGAUGUGAAAGCCCGCAGCUUAACUGCGGAAUUGCAUUUGAAACUGGAGGGCUUGAGUGUCGGAGAGGGUAGUGGAAUUCCCAGUGUAGCGGUGAAAUGCGUAGAUAUUGGGGAGGAACACCAGUGGCGAAGGCGACUGCCUGGACGAUAACUGACGCUGAGGCACGAAAGCUAGGGGAGCAAACAGG